GUGGGUAUGUCUAUACUAUGUACCCGUGGGUAUGUCUAUACUAUGUAUGUCUAUACUAUGUACCCGUGGGUAUGUCUAUACUAUGUACCCGUGGGUAUGUCUGUGUUUCUGAUCAUGGACUGGCUCCUAAAGGAGAGUCCACUGACAUGGUUCUUUAUAUUUGUUGUGCCUGUCCACAUCUCUUUAUUCUCUCUAGGUGUAUGCCUGUCCACAUCUCUUUGAUCUCUUUAUUCUCUCUAGGUGUCUGCCUGUCCACAUCUCUUUGAUCUCUUUAUUCUCUCUAGGUGUCUGCCUGUCCACAUCUCUUUAUUCUCUCUAGGUGUCUGCCUGUCCACAUCUCUUUAUUCUCUCUAGGUGUCUGCCUGUCCACAUCUCUUUGUUCUCUUUAUUCUCUCUAGGUGUCUGCCUGUCCACAUCUCUUUGUUCUCUUUAUUCUCUCUAGGUGUCUGCCUGUCCACAUCUCUUUGAUCUCUUUAUUCUCUCUAGGUGUCUGCCUGUCCACAUCUCUUUGAUCUCUUUAUUGUCUCUAGGUGUCUGCCUGUCCACAUCUCUUUGUUCUCUCUAGGUGUCUGCCUGUCCACAUCUCUUUGUUCUCUCUAGGUGUCUGCCUGUCCACAUCUCUUUGUUCUCUCUCUCUCUUGUUCCAUCUAUAGGCAGCAGAUAGAGUGCAGCCAGUGGGCAUUGCCAUGUUCUAACACAGCUGCGCCAGGGGGAGUGUCCACUGCCCUCUUCCCCAGCUGCUGGCUGAUGUCACAGAGAGGAGAACACGUAGCAAGACAGACACAUGUUAGCAUUGGCUCUCAAUCUCUGUGACAACAUGGUUCUAUCCCCACAGAGAUGGAGACUGUUGAACAACAUCACAGAGCGGGGACAUUGUUGCGUAACAAUACCUACCUACUGUAAAGGAAGAAUCUUCUUGCAACCAUAAUACUUAGGUUCAAGUAGAUAAAUGGAUACAUAAAUAGUAUGACAUAAGACAUAAAGAGACUCACUUGAAGGCCUAGCUUUGAGCAGCAGACAGACAAGAAACAAAUGCCCCAAUAAGAAUCAGGCCAUGUUGGAAUCAAACAAAAUGCUGAUAUCACACUAACGAUCUGUGCCAGUGACACAUUGUCCUUUGAAGAGCGCUCACUGAACGGGGAGAUGAAUUUAAUAUCUUUGGACAGAUAUGGUGGGAAGCAGUCAGAUUAGUUUAUUUUUCUUUAAACAUUCCUUUAAUUCCUCUUUGACUGUUAAAUGCACCAUGGGCUAUUACAGCAAAAAUAAACAAGGUUUCAUACAUUCAAUAAAUAGCUUAGACGGAUGCAGGCUUAAUCUAAUUCCUUUUCCCAUAUGUUUUCUAACCAUAUUAAGCUAAAAUGUCAUACAGUGCUUGGACCAAAUGUUGGGUCAAUUUGGAAAAAAGGCCUCUUUGAAAAUGCCUCUUUGAAAAUACUUACAUGGCAUGGGCAGUUUGGCACAUCACGAUGUGACAAAUCUCCUAGACCGUUGUGACUUAUCACAUGAGUAAGUGUUUAGUAGAGCGCACACAAAGGCCAGUAGGUUACUAGAAGAGAACGGACACCACCUCCACUGGGUUAUCACUAGAACAGAACGGACACCACCUCCACUGGGUUAUCACUAGAACAGAACGGACACCACCUCCACUGGGUUAUCACUAGAACAGAACGGACACCACCUCCACUGGGUUAUCACUAGAACAGAACGGACACCACCUCCACUGGGUUAUCACUAGAACAGAACGGACACCACCUCCACUGGGUUAUCACUAGAACAGAACGG
Molecule: long non-coding RNA, 1782 nt
Organism: Oncorhynchus keta (chum salmon)
Lineage: Eukaryota; Metazoa; Chordata; Actinopteri; Salmoniformes; Salmonidae
Exons: 3
Source: RefSeq, a predicted model, not a curated record